Molecule: ribosomal RNA, 253 nt
Filed under: uncultured bacterium
Lineage: Bacteria
Description: partial 16S ribosomal RNA
Rfam family: Bacterial small subunit ribosomal RNA
Source: RNAcentral
UACAGAGGGUGCAAGCGUUGUUCGGAAUUACUGGGCGUAAAGCGCGUGUAGGUGGCUGCGUAAGUCGGAUGUGAAAUCCCUCGGCUUAACCGAGGAAGUGCAUUCGAUACUGCGUAGCUUGAGUGUUGGAGGGGAUGGCGGAAUUCCCGGUGUAGAGGUGAAAUUCGUAGAUAUCGGGAGGAACACCUGUGGCGAAGGCGGCCAUCUGGACAACUACUGACACUGAGACGCGAAAGCGUGGGUAGCAAACAGG